UACGUAAAUCUUCCGCGUCGCUACGUGACGUCAGUGCGAGCGACCCCGGGCCGGCUGCGUGGAGCUGGCGCUGCCUCUCCUGAAGCCGAGGCGCUAACUUGAGUGAAGAGGUCUAUAGGCUUUUUCACUUUUGGUUAUCUGCUCAGGCGCUCCUUGGGGUCGCGCAUGGUCUCGGACAGGGUUUGCAAGGACUUCGGAGCUAACCAGUUUGGAGCCAUAACCCUUUCGUACUUGCCAAAAAACUCUGGGCAAGACUCUUGAAUUUUGAGCCGCAGUAUUCUCGUUCAUAAGGUUAUACAUCACCUGAUUUUGAAAGGAAGAUGUCUUACCCAGGAUAACUUAGAUCUCGAAGUCUCCUUAUCUCAUUAUUGAAUAUGAACCUACACAAACUUUUUACCUUGUGAUUUGUAUCCACAUCCAAAUUACUCUGUUAGAAUCUGAUUAAAUUAUUUUUGUUUUUCUUGGGAUCUGACUUUUGGGAGGCUUUAAGUGAUUAUGAUUGCACUUCCCUCCACCUGGAAACCACCUCUUCCUUCUCUGAUC
Molecule: long non-coding RNA, 543 nt
Filed under: Homo sapiens (human)
Lineage: Eukaryota; Metazoa; Chordata; Mammalia; Primates; Hominidae
Description: long non-coding RNA NONHSAT198633.1
Source: RNAcentral